AGUGAACGCUGGCGGUAGGCCUAACACAUGCAAGUCGAACGGCAGCACAGUAAGAGCUUGCUCUUACGGGUGGCGAGUGGCGGACGGGUGAGGAAUACAUCGGAAUCUACUUUUUCGUGGGGGAUAACGUAGGGAAACUUACGCUAAUACCGCAUACGACCUACGGGUGAAAGCAGGGGAUCUUCGGACCUUGCGCGAUUGAAUGAGCCGAUGUCGGAUUAGCUAGUUGGCGGGGUAAAGGCCCACCAAGGCGACGAUCCGUAGCUGGUCUGAGAGGAUGAACCGGCCAACUGGAACUGAGAACCGGUCCAGACUCCUACGGGAGGCAGCAGUGGGGAAUAUUGGACAAUGGGCGCAAGCCUGAUCCAGCCAUACCGCGUGGGUGAAGAAGGCCUUCGGGUUGUAAAGCCCUUUUGUUGGGAAAGAAAAGCAGCAGGUUAAUACCCCGCUGUUCUGACGGUACCCAAAGAAUAAGCACCGGCUAACUUCGUG
RNAcentral lists this ribosomal RNA (492 nucleotides) under uncultured bacterium. Its description in RNAcentral is "partial 16S ribosomal RNA". It matches the Rfam family "Bacterial small subunit ribosomal RNA", at positions 29 to 507 of the family's 1533-position model. The record is from RNAcentral.